RNAcentral lists this ribosomal RNA (492 nucleotides) under uncultured bacterium. RNAcentral's name for it is "partial 16S ribosomal RNA". It matches the Rfam family "Bacterial small subunit ribosomal RNA", at positions 29 to 507 of the family's 1533-position model. The record is from RNAcentral.
AGUGAACGCUGGCGGUAGGCCUAACACACGCAAGUCGAACGGCAGCACAGUAAGAUCUUGCUCUUACGGGUGGCGAGUGGCGGACGUGUGAGGAAUACAUCGUAAUCUACUUUUUCGUGGGGGUUAACGUAGGUAAACUUACUCUAAUACCGCAUACGACCUACGGUGGAAAGCAGUGGAUCUUCUCACCUGGCGCGGUUGAAUGAGCCGAUGUCGGAUUAGCUAGUUGGCGGGCUAAAUGCCCACCAAGUCGACGAUCCGUAGCUGGUCUGAGAGGAUGGUAGGCCACACUGGAAGUGAGACACGGACAAGGCUACUAAGGGAGGGCGCAGUGGGGAAUAUUGGACAAAGGGCGCAAGCAUGAUACAGCCAUACCGAGUGGGAGAAGAAGGCGUUCGGGUUGUAAAGCCGUUUUGUUGGGAAAGAACAGCAGCAGGUUAAUACCAAGCUGUUGUGACGGUAACCAAAGAAUAAGCACCGGCUAACUACGUG